Eriocheir sinensis (Chinese mitten crab) is the source of this 3315-nucleotide long non-coding RNA. RefSeq lists it as uncharacterized. NCBI's taxonomy places the organism in Eukaryota, Metazoa, Arthropoda, Malacostraca, Decapoda, Varunidae. The transcript has 3 exons. The record is from RefSeq and is a predicted model, not a curated record.
UUUGAUGAAGGUUACGGGUGAUGAUGAACUAACUGGCUGGGGAUACGAGAGACUAGUCAUGUCCAUAGUUUUGCUCUUUUGUGGCCCAGUAGCCAAGUAAAUCUCUUGUUUUAUAUACAUAAGUAAAGUGGCAAAGGUCUGGUUGGGAUCUAAAAGCCUUGAAGAUGAUUUGAUUUGAUUUGAUGAAGGUUCCGGGCGAUGAUGAACUAACUGGCUGGGGAUACGAGAGACUAGCCAUGUCCACAGUUUGCUCUUUUGUGGACCAUUAGCCAAAUAAAUCUCUUGUUUUAUAUACACAAGGAAAGUGGCAAAGGUCUGGUUGGGAUCUAAAAGCCUUGAAGAUGAUUUGAUUUGAUUUGAUGAAGGUUCCGGGCGAUGAUGAACUAAUGGGUUGGGGAUACGAGAGACUAACCAUGUACACAGUUUUGCUCGUUUGUGGACCAGUAGCCAAGUAUAUCUUCUCUUGUUUUAUAUAUACGAAGAAAGUGGCAAAGGUCUGGUUGGGAUCUAAAAGCCUUGAGGGAUGAUUUGGAGAGAGCAUGACAGACAUGAAUAUAGAAGAUGCCUUACAACCAUCAGUGGAUUUAGCUCAUUGGUUCAACUGUAAUGCCAGAUUUUUGUAGUGAAGAAAAUGUAUCGGAGUCAAAAGUAUGCAAUAAGUGUUAAGUAAACGGCCACUGUGGGCUUCACUUAACACUUAUCACACACUUUGACUCUGAUACAUUUUCCUCACUACAAAAAUCUGGCAUCUUUUUAUAACAUAUGUAUAAGCAAUUAAACUAACUUAUGAUUCAAGUGAGUAUAAACGUCGAGAUAAAAUUAAGUUCUGAUAGCAAACCAAGGGACGGGUGAGUUCGUAAAUCAUAUACAUACACACAUAUACUGGACUGUUGGUAAUGCUUCAUCAGAAUACCAGGGAAAAAAAAAGGUAGGUUGGUAGGCAUUUUCAGAGUAGGUCUAACUUUGCAAAAAUUGAAAAAAGCAAAGAAAAUGAGUCUGGUUCACAUCUUAGUCUGACAGAUUUAUAUAAUGUCGAAAUUCAGCAUGUUUAAGACACACAAGAAAAGGACUGAGCACAUUCUGGUGUCCUACUGAAGAGGGUUCGAUGAAAUAUAUCAAUAAAAGCAGAAAAUGUCACGAGUCUGGUUCACAUCUUUGUCUGACAGGAUUUAUGUAACGUCUAAAUUCAGCAUGUUUAAGACACACAAGAAAAGGAGUUAGCACAUUCUGGUGUCCUAUUGAAGGGGGUGAAAUAAAUAAAUCAAUAAAAUAACUAAGAGAAAUGGAAUGAACAAUGUUACUUUUGAGAGGCCUGCAAACAAGGAGGCGAGGAAGCCCUUCAAAACACACCCAAAGAGUCUUUAGAGUGAGAUUGAGGUGUGAUCCAUGUUGAGGGAUCUUCAUUCUUCCUCUGCUUUGUAUCAGUAUCAGAAUUUAUGUUUAGUGUGUGUGUAAGUCUAUUGCAGCUUCACUCUUUUUCAACACAAAUGUUUGCUAUGAAUCUGUUACAUGUUUAAUUCUCUCCUCUCUGUUUGCAUAGCACUGUUACCACUCUGCCUUGAUAAUCUUCUGAAAAUGUGGUUCCACUUUUCUGAAGCAACGAUUAUUUUCCACCUUCAGCCGUUGCGAGUUGACCAACAUGAUGGAACAACACCUUCGGCAUUUCUGUAUUUUUAACAUGAGUAUUGCUUUGUAGGCAUUUAUGUCAGUAAUUUAGUCUUGCCGUUGGUUGCCUCUCUUAGUGAAAAAGAAACUUAAGUGAAAAUAUUCCAGCACAGCGAGUUCUUGUGCACGACGCUGACAAUGAAUGGAAUGAAUGGGAAACAGAUUAGUCAGCAGGAGGAAUUACAAUCACACAUGUACCUCACAUUUUCAUUCUCAUUGAUUAUGCAGCAAAUUUUUCAAAGCCAAAGUAUUCUUAACAGCUUAAGGUAGUGAGAAUCACAUUCUUAAGAAGGGUGAUAAUGGUAUACAACAAAGAAGGCAAUAAAUACACCCUAAUAUGCACUCAAAGGAAUACAUGUCGUUGAAUGUUCACUAUAAAAAGAUGUGUUCAGUUAAAUCAUCCCUAACAUAAAUACAGCCUAAUAUGCCCUCAAAGGAAUAUUAUGUCAUUGGAUAUUCACUAUAAAAAGAUGUGUUCAGUUAAAUCAUCCCAAACAUAAAUACACCCUAAUAUGCACUCAAAGGAAUAUUAUGUCAUUGGAUAUUCACUAUAAAAAGAUGUGUUCAGUUAAAUCAUCCCGAACAUAAAUACACCCUAAUAUGCCCUCAAAGGAAUAUUAUGUCGAUGGAUGUUCACUAUAAAAAGAUGUGUUCAGUUAAAUCAUCCCUAACAUAAAUACACCCUAAUAUGCACUCAAAGCAAUAUUAUGUCGUUGAAUGUUCACUAAAACAAGACGUGUUCUGUUAAAUCAUCACUAAGAGCUACUUCUGUCAUGAUUGUAUGCAGUGAUUAACACAAUAAUACCUAAAGACACCCCCGUGGCGUAGCGGUUAGGUCAUCAUUAUCAUCAGUUCGUUUAGCUCCAUUUUCAUUCUUCCUGAGCAGUUGGACGCUUUAUGGCUCUCCUCCAUUCUACUCUGUCUUCUGCCUGAUGUGAUAACGGUUAGAACGCCUUGCUAUAAAUCCGCCGGCCAAGGUUCGAUCCCAGCCCAAGACAGCUGGUGCCUAACUCACCCAGCGGUCCGUCCCCCUGAUCAGGCUGGUCGAUGAAUGGGUGCCUGGGGAAACCUGAGUGAACUGUGGUAACCCGGAUGUGCAGAUGAGCAUGAAGCACCUAGUGGACUCCUACCAAACAUUUACCAGUCCUCUUCAAAAUCAUAAGCAAUGGAAACUAUAACAGGAAACUACACCUAUCAAACCCUCACCUUGGUAUAUCAAUGAUCAACCCUUUAGCCACCAGGUGAAGGAAGAAAAACAUAAUAAUAGAACUAUAUGGUAAAUAUCACAUUGCAUUUGGAAUCGAGAAGCAUAACGCUAUCACAAACUUUUACGCUACAUACAGACCCUAGAAAACUAUCCUGGAAAUACUGGGCGCAUCGCUGGUUAUAAAAUACAUGACCACCUGGGUGAAGCAUUGGGUCGGCCGGCUCCUUGCCCCGGCCCCUCUGGAUGGAAAGGCCAUCUCUAAUACAUAAAUACAAAUCUGCCUUCUACCUAAUGAUAUGCCAAAUACAUGUGCGUGCGUGUGUCUAGGUGAUCCCAUGUGGAGGUGAGGUAAGGUAAGGUAAGGUAUGUAGGUAGGGUAAGGUAAGGUUUGUAAUGUAUGAAGGUAAGGUAAGGUAAGGUUUGUAAGGUAUGUAAGGUAAGGU